AUACGGAGGGUGCAAGCGUUGUCCGGAUUUAUUGGGUUUAAAGGGUGCGUAGGUGGCGUGUUAAGUCAGUGGUGAAAGCCUGCAGCUCAACUGUAGAGGUGCCAUUGAUACUGACAUGCUUGAGUAUGGACGAGGUAGGCGGAAUUUGUGGUGUAGCGGUGAAAUGCAUAGAUACCACAAAGAACACCGAUAGCGAAGGCAGCUUACUGGACCAUAACUGACACUGAGGCACGAAAGUGUGGGUAGCGAACAGGAUUAGAAACCCCAGUAGUCC
RNAcentral lists this ribosomal RNA (274 nucleotides) under uncultured bacterium. RNAcentral's name for it is "partial 16S ribosomal RNA". It matches the Rfam family "Bacterial small subunit ribosomal RNA", at positions 523 to 796 of the family's 1533-position model. The record is from RNAcentral.